UCUCAAAAAAACAAUCUCAGUUCAGACUGCAGGCUGCAACUCGCCUGCACGAAGUCGGAAUUGCUAGUAAUCGUAGGUCAGCAUACUACGGUGAAUACGUUCCCGGGCCUUGUACACACCGCCCGUCAAACCAUGAGAGUUGGCAACACCCGAAGUCGGUAGUCUAACCGCAAGGAGGACGCCGCCGAAGGUGGGGUUGAUGAUUAGGGUUAAGUCGUAACAAGGUAAC
This 229-nucleotide ribosomal RNA is filed under the name uncultured bacterium. Its description in RNAcentral is "partial 16S ribosomal RNA". It matches the Rfam family "Bacterial small subunit ribosomal RNA", at positions 1272 to 1500 of the family's 1533-position model. The record is from RNAcentral.